This 455-nucleotide long non-coding RNA is filed under the name Helianthus annuus (common sunflower). RNAcentral describes it as "hypothetical non coding rna". Lineage: Eukaryota; Viridiplantae; Streptophyta; Magnoliopsida; Asterales; Asteraceae. The record is from RNAcentral.
GCUUUGCUAGAGCUUCUUUCUUCUAGGCCAGAAGAGGAGCCGAGUUUUUGAAGACACUGUAGUUUAAUUCGUGGCUGUAAAUUGUUGCCUUGGUUCAAGCAUUGUAAGAUUAUCAUGGGCUGAUCCAAAAUUUGAUUUGAAUAUUAAUUAAGAUAAUGUGGAAGACAAGUGUUCCGACUAUGGACGGGUGAAGCGUAUAUAUGUUGACAAGUGCUAGGAUGAACAUCUGUUUGAUGUGGAAAUUACCAUAACAUGGGGUUUACAAGUAGCAUGAAUAAAACACUUGAAGAAUCAUACCACAUCAGAACCGGCCACCAGUUACAAAUUUUCUCCUCAUCACAACAGCAGUAAUGUGGCCACCAACCCAUGGAUGCAAAUUUGCAGCACUUUUAAGUUUAAAACAGUGAGUAUGUGGACUUGAAGAAAACAGUCUUGAAAUAGUUAUUAGUUUAUGU